This 395-nucleotide unclassified non-coding RNA is filed under the name soil metagenome. RNAcentral describes it as "partial contains 5.8S ribosomal RNA, internal transcribed spacer 2, and large subunit ribosomal RNA". The stretch from base 1 to 121 matches the Rfam family "5.8S ribosomal RNA", at positions 35 to 154 of the family's 154-position model. The record is from RNAcentral.
GAUGAAGAACGUAGCGAACGUGCGAAACGUAAUGUGAAUUGCAGAAUUCAGUGAAUCAUCGAAUCUUUGAACGCAUCUUGCGCUCCUUGGUAUUCCGAGGAGCAUGCCUGUUUGAGUGUCGUGAAUACUCUCAACUUCAACCCUUUUUUCGGAAAGGGAGGAAGGUUGGACUUGGGUGUUUGUUGAAGUGCGAGCUUCGACUCAUCCUAAAUGCAUUAGCGAUCUGCCUCGAUCACACACAAUGUGAUAAUUAAAACUAACGCAUUGUUUAAUGAUCAAGUCGAGACUGCUUCUAACUGUCGCAAGACAAUAACGUGCAUACAUUUGUGCAUGUCAUUUGACCUCAAAUCAGGUAGGACUACCCGCUGAACUUAAGCAUAUCAAUAAGCGGAGGA